RNAcentral lists this ribosomal RNA (301 nucleotides) under uncultured bacterium. RNAcentral describes it as "partial 16S ribosomal RNA". It matches the Rfam family "Bacterial small subunit ribosomal RNA", at positions 509 to 807 of the family's 1533-position model. The record is from RNAcentral.
CAGCAGCCGCGGGAAUACAGAGGGUGCAAGCGUUAAUCGGAAUUACUGGGCGUAAAGCGCGCGUAGGUGGUUUGUUAAGUUGGAUGUGAAAGCCCCGGGCUCAACCUGGGAACUGCAUCCAAAACUGGCAAGCUAGAGUACGGUAGAGGGUGGUGGAAUUUCCUGUGUAGCGGUGAAAUGCGUAGAUAUAGGAAGGAACACCAGUGGCGAAGGCGACCACCUGGACUGAUACUGACACUGAGGUGCGAAAGCGUGGGGAGCAAACAGGAUUAGAGACCCCGGUAGUCCCUGUCUCUUAUAC